Engraulis encrasicolus (European anchovy) is the source of this 720-nucleotide long non-coding RNA. RefSeq lists it as uncharacterized. The record is from RefSeq and is a predicted model, not a curated record. NCBI's taxonomy places the organism in Eukaryota, Metazoa, Chordata, Actinopteri, Clupeiformes, Engraulidae. The transcript has 3 exons.
CUGUUGCAGAGGAGGAGCCCUGAGUGGACAUAAAAAGAAGUCGUCACCUUUGUCAGGUCCUUUCUAUCCUGCAGACUCCACGUCUGCCCGAAGGAUUCCGGGACCAGGAGGUGUCUCGCUAUUGGCGAUGCCAUGUCCCACAGAGUCCCACUCUUUCUGCUUGCACCUUCUCACGUGGGCGUAGUGGCGUAAAAUCCUUGCUCCCAAGGGCAUAGGCACUGGGACCUCGUCUGCUCCGAUCUGUGACGUCAGCGAGGGAUUCUGAUUGGUCGAAGCUCCCUGCUGAGGGAUUUUGAUUGGUCAAGACUCCCAUCGUUGUCUCCAGGCCUGGAAGAAUGGGUCUCAGUGGACAGCGGCCGGGUCGCCCCCGCGACCCGCCAACCGCGCAUCAGACAUAAAGAAGCACCAAACAAACAAAAGCUACCAAACAAAACUUCCCGAACACAGUAACAUUUUCAGUAAAUUUUGCACUUAGGUAGACGAUUUUAACACUCAUAGUGUUUGUCCUUCUGCCUAAGUGUUGAAGUAACACUUGAAAAUGUUACUGUGUUUUCCCCCCUCCCCUUCUGGUGGCUUCUGGUUGUCUGUUGCUUGGUUGGUGGGUCGUGGGGAUGGACCUACUCGUAAAAUAUUCCAUCCCAACUCAUUUCCCUACUGCUGAACUGCAUAUUUUCUUUAACAUAAAACCCAAUUAAAAACAGCAAAAUCUUGUAACUGAAA